Molecule: long non-coding RNA, 308 nt
Organism: Bombina bombina (fire-bellied toad)
Lineage: Eukaryota; Metazoa; Chordata; Amphibia; Anura; Bombinatoridae
Exons: 3
Source: RefSeq, a predicted model, not a curated record
CUCCUCACUUGUUUUGGCUGCCACGCAAUCUUCCCUAUCCAACCUGCGAUCCGGCCAAAGAUUAGAAGGCACCGUGACGUAGGUCUCGUCUCCGGGUAUCUCUUGGGCCCCUAAUACAGUGAAUAAACCAUGUGGAAUGCAUCGAAAGAGCCAGGUACACUAAAGCUGAUUUACAUUAAAAGCUGGUAAAGGUAGCUGAACGGUUACCACGCUGUCCUGCAGUCUUUUAGGGGGAAUCUGUUUCCUGCUUCCCCGAUCCAUGCUGCUUCAGCCUCCAAGAAUGCCCAGAGCUGACCCUGCAACAAGAC